CCUUCGAUAGCUCAGUUGGUAGAGCGGUGGACUGUAGAGAAGAUAUAAAACAUGAUAGAAAUCCAUAGGUCGCUGGUUCAAAUCCGGCUCGAAGGA
Molecule: transfer RNA, 96 nt
Filed under: Musca domestica (house fly)
Lineage: Eukaryota; Metazoa; Arthropoda; Insecta; Diptera; Muscidae
Rfam family: tRNA
About the family: Transfer RNA (tRNA) molecules are approximately 80 nucleotides in length.
Source: Rfam by way of RNAcentral